UGAUCUCGAACUUCUUGGCUCAAGUGAUCUGCCUGCCUUCCAAAGUGCUGGGAUUACAGGCAUGAGCCACCAAGCGCAGCCAUGAUUUAUUAGAUCACUUCUAAAAGCCCUCUCUCCAUCUCCAAGCCAGCAAGUGCUUCUUUGCACCCCAGCUCUAAAACAAAGCCCUUGGGGACACAAUCAAAGACAGUAGUUGCCAAGAGGAAUAGGGAGCAUGGAAAGAAGGUGCUGGAUGUGCAUACAGCUAACCUGGUAACUCCAAACUGGAUGAGCUCAUUCCUUGAGACUGGAAUUACAAAAUUGGAACAGCUCACUAAUAAUUGAAGAUGAUUUGGGAAAACCAUUAUCCUUCCUCAGGUUUUACAAGAACCUGUGACAAAUGAAAAUGGUUUUCCUAGAUAAGAACGAAACUGUGUUGGGUGGCUAACAAGAUUGAAACUCAUCUGACUUUGAGAAAUAAAUCAAUUUGGUUUGUUUAUUUACAAUCGUUAUUUUUCCUUUUACCAAUACCUAAGUUAUUUCACUGUAAAACUUUCAUAGAAGAAUUUCAGGAAAGGCUUGUAUUUACGUGUUAUAGAUGAGGUACACCACAGUGAUUUAGAUCAGCAGUCCCCAACCGUUUUGGCACCAGGGACCAGUUUCAUGGAAGACAAUUUUUCCACAGAUCAGGGGUGGGCAGAGUUUGGGGGAAUGGUUUCUGGAUGAUUCAAGCGGAUUACAUUUGUUGUGCACCAUAUUUCUAUUAUUAUUAUUGCAUUGUAAUAUGUAACAAAAUAGUUAUACAACUCCAUAAUGUAGACUCAGUGGGAGCCCUGAGCUUGUUUUCCUGCAACUAGACGGUCCCAUCUGAGGGUGAUGGGAGACAGUGACACCAAAGUGUGCUGCUUAUGUCCAGUCUACUUCGUAAUCUCAUUUUGAUUGCUGUCACUGCAGAAAACCCUGUAACAUUCUCAAAAUUCUAUUCUCUCUAGGGUAAAAUUAAACUGCGGGACAUAGCGCAGAAGACUUGUCACAAUUUAGGACCAACCUACCAAGACUUCUUGAUCUCUUUCCACUUCUUGCCCCUCACUGUGUUUGAUUUCUGCCUUCCAGUCUGAACUUCUCACUAUAUUCCAGAAAAGGCCUGUUAAAGAGAUCUGGUAGUCAAAAGCAACCUCUUUUUUGCUUGUGCUCUCUGUUAUACAUAAGAAACCAGUCCUGCUGCAGCUCCAUAUUUGCAUUACUAAUUUAAUCAGUUAGCGGGACACAUGCUCUUUAUAACCCAAAAAAUUGAAGCAUGAAAUUUGGGAGUCAUACCCAUCACCCAAAUGUGGCAUAACAAUGUUCUUCUUCCCCGCAAAGCAGUGUCCUUCCCCAAAGAAAUUCUGGGGAUUGGCAUUUUCUUCAUCCACUCCUUUCAUUAUUUCCUUUACCUAUUUCUCUGAGUCUAUUAGCAUCCUUGGAGGGGGGAAUGUAUCUUAUUUAUUGUUAUAUCUCCCAGGCUCACACAUCACUCAAUAAAGGUUUGUUGAAUGAAACAAUAAAUGGAUGCAAGACUAAAUGAACAAAGAAAAGCCACGGGGAAGAUAACAAUGUUAUGUCAUAAUUCAGGAUCAUCUUUUUCUGUUUUUUCCCCUCCAGCUUUAUUGAGGUAUAAUUGACAAAUAAAAAUUAUAUAUAUUCAAGGUGUCCAACAAGAUGUUUUGAUAUACAUAUACAUUGUGAAAUGAUUACCACAAUCAAACUAAUUAGCAUGUCCAUUACCUCACAUAAUUACCUUUUUUAUGUGUGCUGAGAAUACUUAAGAUUUGCUUUCUUAGCAAAUUUUAAGUAUACAAUACAUUAUGAUUAACUAUAGUCAUCAUACUUUACAGUAAGUCUCCAGAACUUACUUCAUCUGCAGGUUUGUACUCUGACCAACAUCAUCUUAUUUCACUCCCCACCCCACUUUCAGCACUGGUAACCACAUUUCUAUUCUAAGCCUUCUGGUGAAAUUUCUUUCUUAUUUCACUCCCAGUGAGUAACACAAGAGAAAAAUAAACAACAAAAGCCAGUCAAUAAUUAUAAAGUGAAUCUUACCAGUAUAGAGUUAUAAGCCUUGUUUUUACUUCACUGAUAAUGUUGUCGUGAACACUGUUUGAAUAAUGAAGACUAAAGGAAUGAUGGCAUGCACUGUGAGUUCUUGAUGUGGUUGAAGCAAAAUUCCCAACAAACAGACAUUUUGCUAUUUCAUUAGUGUUUAUGGCUGAUAAAUAC
This 2235-nucleotide long non-coding RNA is filed under the name Homo sapiens (human). RNAcentral describes it as "HSALNT0376687". Lineage: Eukaryota; Metazoa; Chordata; Mammalia; Primates; Hominidae. The record is from RNAcentral.